GACGAACGCUGGCGGCGUGCUUAACACAUGCAAGUCGAACGGAAAGGCCCUGCUUUUGUGGGGUGCUCGAGUGGCGAACGGGUGAGUAACACGUGAGUAACCUGCCCUUGACUUUGGGAUAACUUCAGGAAACUGGGGCUAAUACCGGAUAGGAGCUCCUGCUGCAUGGUGGGGGUUGGAAAGUUUCGGCGGUUGGGGAUGGACUCGCGGCUUAUCAGCUUGUUGGUGGGGUAGUGGCUUACCAAGGCUUUGACGGGUAGCCGGCCUGAGAGGGUGACCGGCCAAAUGGGGACGGGGAUACGGCCCAGACUCCUAGGGGAGGCAGCGGGGGGGAAUAUUGCACAAGGGGCGGAAGCCUGAUGCAGCAACGCCGGGGGGGGGAGGGCGGCCUUCGGGUUGUAAACCGCUUUCGCCUGGGACGAAGCGUGAGUGACGGUAAUGGGUAAAGAAGCCCCGGCUAACUACGU
This 467-nucleotide ribosomal RNA is filed under the name uncultured bacterium. RNAcentral describes it as "partial 16S ribosomal RNA". It matches the Rfam family "Bacterial small subunit ribosomal RNA", at positions 28 to 506 of the family's 1533-position model. The record is from RNAcentral.